AAAAAUAAUCUGGGGAGCUUGCUCACAAUGCAGGUGUUCCUGGCCUCACCCCAACUAUUUUAAUUUCAUGUAAUUGGGGUGGGGUUCAGGAAUCUUCAUUUAAGAAAAAUACCUCCAGUGACAGAGAGAUGGCUGUCAACCACACUUUGAGAAAAAAACCCCUCAAGUUCAUGCUGUUGUGCUCAACCUUUGGGAAAAAAUUCUUCUAUUCUGUGUGAAAGAAAAUGGUGUCUUUCUAAGUCCCAAGAAAGCAUCCUAAAGGGAUGCAAGGAAGGAUUCGAUGGGCAUUCCUUCCAAGGCAUGAAAGGAGAGCGGAUGGCUGUGUCUUGUACUCAGCCACCCUCCACGGAGCCUGUGGCAGACCCAGGAAUGUCCAUGCAUCUCAGAGCUGAAGUGAGGUGCACAGGCCAAGUUCAAACCAGUGCCCCCUCCUUGCAGGGUGGUCAGAAAACACAUGGACAUUUGUCAAGAACUCCGGAGUAGCCCAUGUCUGUGGUUACACAAUGAAACAUUCUUCCCCAGCAGCAACACCCAGAAGGCUUCCAAUAUUUUGCGCCCACACACUGAACAUGAAAUAGUGAUUGAUGGUAAGAGGAUGUGCAUAGAAAAAGUUUAGAAGUGACCCCUUCUUAUUUUGCAAAUAACAAAAGGAAAUGCUCCUUUAGAUCCUGUGCAGUUCGGAAGCCGCUUGGGUGGCAUGUGGGCUUUCAGAGAGAAUGAAGAGAGACAUCUGGCAAGAACUUUUCUUGGUCACAAUGUCUUGCUUCUCAUUCUGCUUCCAAUGCCCUCCAGGAGGUUGCAGUUAUGGGGAGAAAUGGGACGCAGGAGAUCUGGGGUCAGAGGAAUGUGGAUCACAGGGGUGUGUCCAGAUCCCUGGACCUGCCACGUUUGUGAUCUCGGAAACAUUAUUUCUCUCUCUCCAGCCCAAGUUCCAGCACCAAGCCAGUUGAGGUGGCGUAUACAGCUUAUGUGACUCAUGACAAAAAGAGCAGAUGGAGAGACUAUGAAACUGACACCUCAGUCUUCUUACAAGGACAAUCUUUGACAAGAAGACAAAGUUCUGGAGGAACUUUUUGAGAUGCACCCAGGCAUUGCUGUGGAAGUGCACCUCCAUGGGGAGAGAAGGAAGUCAGCAUGUGAGUCCUUUGGCCAGAUGGCAAGUAAAGGAGAUGGGUUGGUGGGCAGUGGCUCUGGCUUGGAGUCCCCACUGGGGUCAUGGUGGGGUAAGAGUCUGGAGUGGCCCUUCAUGGAGUAAGCCCUGGGACCCUGACAGCGGGACUGCAUAUGUGGGUUGCCUGCUCUGCUCCUGAGGGGUUUUCAUGCUGAGGCAGGGUCUGCGGUCUGCAGGCUGCCGGUACAUGGAAGGACAGGGCACAGGCGUGGGCCUUGGAUCCACCUGGUUUCCUGGGACCUUGCACAUGGCUUUGUUUCUGCCGUGCUGCUCUGUGGGUGAUGCUUUGUCUUGUUGUGUUAAAGUGUGUGUGCUUGGGUGUUGCUUGAGACUCUGUGUGUGUUGGGAGGAUCCAGAAGGGGGUUGUAAGCAAGACGGAGUCAGUGAGGAAACGCCUCACAUGAGGCCCUAAACCCCAGCCAUCCUUACACACACCUUCAAACAAACUUGCUGUGAACGUAGUUUAGAGUUACAGAAAAGACACAAAAGCCAGCCAGAGUGUGCUUGUGAGAUCCUACCUAACCAUAGCACUACCUAACCAUAGCAGAAUUACUAACAGCACUUACACACCAUUGCCUCGACCAAUCCAAUUCAGCCAUCCCCACGGGUGUCCUCUGUCUCAGCACCCACUCUGCCUUUAGUUGUUCUUUCUCCUUAGUCCUCUCCAGCCUUCAACAUUUCAGUCUCUUUCUGUCUUUUUUGAUCUUGAAGCAUUGUUAUCAGUGCUAUUCUUGCUCCUUUCCAAACCAAGCUUCUAAGAUUUUGUCUUUGGCCACCAGCAGGUUUCCUGUUAUGGUUCCGGUCAUAGUUCUCCUUUUUGUUUGCUCAUAUUUUUUUGUGAAGCCCACAGGAACCAAGAAACGCUAAGUACAUUUGACCAUUAUUACCUGAAAUUUCAAUCAUAGGGGAUAAGUGUCUUCUCCAUGACUUGUCUCAAUGGGAAUGAGGAAACACCUUGCUGUGAAUUUCACAGGGAUGUGAGAAUGACCGCCCUCCCAUCCCCCUCGGAGCGGAGAUGGAUGAGGGGGUUGAUAGGCACAGGCUGGCUUCAAAGGCAGCAGGAGGGGCCCUGGUUCUCUGACUCCUGACUGCACUCCCUACCCGGGCCCGCCCUGCAUGCACACCUUAGUGUGUGCUGAGGUUCCAGGCUCAAACUCGUCCUCAGGUGACUGCAUGGGAGAGGAAGGGGCUCAAGUCACAGACUGGGAGUUCUCUCCUGGUGUGUAGGGAACAGACUGGGCACAGCUGAAAAGAAGUCAUGAGUGCAGGCAGGGCCCAGGAGUGAGGAACAGAAGGCAUUUUCCUGUCACUGUACUUCACCAGAGCCAAGGAGGAGGUGAGGGAAGAUGAGCAGCCACGUGUUUCCAGGAGGUGGGAGAACUGACCCCUCAGAGCACACAGAGGACGUCCGACCCUCCCAGAGGCCACCUGCACUGGAGCUUGGGUGGCAACAGUCAGGGAGGGCCACCUGGAGGACUCUGAGAGCAGGACCCCAAAAAGAAAAAAAAAAAAAGAAAGAAAAACAUUUUAUUUGAAAGACUAGGGUUUAUUACCGAAGAACACUGAAAACCCAUGUCCGGGAAACAUCAGAACUCCGCUUUACUUCCUUGUGGCUUGGUCUUGUUUUUAUUUUGACCUGGGGCAAUAGGGGAGGGGAGCCGUAAGCUUUUCAGAACCAGGGCCUCUAGAAAGCCUCCCUCCAGUCCUGGCGUGAGCUGCUGCCAACAGCAAGUGCUGCUUUGAGUCUGCAUUUCCAAAGCCCCUCUCGGCUAUCCCCAUGGUUGGCAUUUGCGGGAACACAAGUGCCCCUCCCAGCUCCUCAGCAGAAUCAACCCCAGCUCACCACAACACAGCCAGGAGCAGGCACAGGGCCUCCAGGCCUCCGCGGCCACACUGAGGUGCAUCUUGGCUCUUAGCGCU
This 3091-nucleotide long non-coding RNA is filed under the name Macaca fascicularis (crab-eating macaque). RNAcentral describes it as "lncRNA (ENSMFAG00000049070.1)". The record is from RNAcentral. Lineage: Eukaryota; Metazoa; Chordata; Mammalia; Primates; Cercopithecidae.